This 76-nucleotide transfer RNA is filed under the name Chloroflexota bacterium. RNAcentral's name for it is "tRNA-Trp". It matches the Rfam family "tRNA". From Rfam's summary of the family: Transfer RNA (tRNA) molecules are approximately 80 nucleotides in length. Their secondary structure includes four short double-helical elements and three loops (D, anti-codon, and T loops). The record is from RNAcentral. RNAcentral also lists the same sequence under 1 other name. Lineage: Bacteria; Bacillati; Chloroflexota.
AGGAGCGUAGCUCAGUUGGUAGAGCGAAGGUCUCCAAAACCUUAGGUCGGGGGUUCGAAUCCUCCCGCUCCUGCCA